AUUGAACGCUGGCGGCAUGCCUUACACAUGCAAGUCGAACGGUAACAGGUCUUCGGAUGCUGACGAGUGGCGAACGGGUGAGUAAUACAUCGGAACGUGCCUAGUAGUGGGGGAUAACUACUCGAAAGAGUGGCUAAUACCGCAUGAGAUCUACGGAUGAAAGCAGGGGAUCGCAAGACCUUGUGCUACUAGAGCGGCCGAUGGCGGAUUAGGUAGUUGGUGGGAUAAAAGCUUACCAAGCCGACGAUCUGUAGCUGGUCUGAGAGGACGAUCUGCCACACUGGGACUGAGACACGGCCCAGACUCCUACGGGAGGCAGCAGUGGGGAAUUUUGGACAAUGGGCGCAAGCCUGAUCCAGCAAUGCCGCGUGCAGGAUGAAGGCCUUCGGGUUGUAAACUGCUUUUGUACGGAACGAAAAGCCCCGGGUUAAUACCCUGGGGUCAUGACGGUACCGUAAGAAUAAGCACCGGCUAACUACGUGCCAGCAGCCGCCGUAA
RNAcentral lists this ribosomal RNA (498 nucleotides) under uncultured bacterium. RNAcentral's name for it is "partial 16S ribosomal RNA". It matches the Rfam family "Bacterial small subunit ribosomal RNA", at positions 30 to 523 of the family's 1533-position model. The record is from RNAcentral.